Molecule: unclassified non-coding RNA, 387 nt
Filed under: uncultured Verrucomicrobiae bacterium
Lineage: Bacteria; Pseudomonadati; Verrucomicrobiota; Verrucomicrobiia
Description: contains 16S-23S intergenic spacer region
Source: RNAcentral
UCCUCGUUUAAGCGAGGCAGUCUGUCCAGAGUGCUCCAGACUCUCGUCCGGAUAGCAACAGGACACAAGGGUUGCGCUCGUUGCGGGACUUAACCCAACAUCUCACGACACGAGCUGACGACAGCCAUGCAGCACCUGUGUACACUGGUAUUGCUACCUCGUUGCCCUUUCAGGCUCCUACUAUAUACAUGUCAAGGCCAGGUAAGGUUCUUCGCGUUGCAUCGAAUUAAGCCACAUACUCCACCGCUUGUGCAGGCCCCCGUCAAUUUCUUUGAGUUUUAAUCUUGCGACCGUACUUCCCAGGCGGCACAUUUAUCGCGUUAGCUUCGCCACAAAAGGGGUCGAUUCCUUUUACAGCAAAUGUGCACCGUUUACAGCUAGGACUAC